AGUGAACGCUGGCGGUAGGCCUAACACAUGCAAGUCGAACGGCAGCACAGUAAGAGCUUGCUCUUACGGGUGGCGAGUGGCGGACGGGUGAAGAAUACAUCGGAACCUACUUUUUCGUGGGGGAUAACGUAGGGAAACUUACGCUAAUACCGCAUACGACCUACGGGUGAAAGCAGGGGAUCUUCGGACCUUGCGCGAUUGAAUGAGCCGAUGUCGGAUUAGCUAGUUGGCGGGGUAAAGGCCCACCAAGGCGACGAUCCGUAGCUGGUCUGAGAGGAUGAUCAGCCACACUGGAACUGAGACACGGUCCAGACUCCUACGGGAGGCAGCAGUGGGGAAUAUUGGACAAUGGGCGCAAGCCUGAUCCAGCCAUACCGCGUGGGUGAAGAAGGCCUUCGGGUUGUAAAGCCCUUUUGUUGGGAAAGAAAAGCAGCAGGUUAAUACCCCGCUGUUCUGACGGUACCCAAAGAAUAAGCACCGGCUAACUUCGU
RNAcentral lists this ribosomal RNA (491 nucleotides) under uncultured bacterium. Its description in RNAcentral is "partial 16S ribosomal RNA". It matches the Rfam family "Bacterial small subunit ribosomal RNA", at positions 29 to 506 of the family's 1533-position model. The record is from RNAcentral.